UAAAGAUGUUAAUGUUAAGUCAUCCCUUCUGUGAUUUCGGGACAUUAUCUUUGCACGCCAUGUGAAGAUGUGCUUGCUUCCUUGUCACCUUCCGCCAUGAUUGUAAGUUUCCUGAGGCCUCCCAGGAAGCAGAAGCCUGUACAGCCCACAGAACCAUGACCUGAUGAAAUCUCUUUUCUUUAUAAAUUACCCAGUCUCAGGUCUACACAAACUCCAGCUGUAUACAAAAGACUGCAUCUCCAGCUUGUUUUGUCUGAGAGGUCUAGGCAUGAUAUUUUAUUAAUUGUGGACUAUCUCUACUUGAAUAGCUUGGAAUAUACUCAAACUUAAAGUUGAAUUCUUCCUUCCCUCCAGAUGUGCUUCAUUAAUUAAUUCAUUCAUUCAUUCAUCAGCUUCCAUACACCUCCUGUUAUCGGGCUAAGGUUAGUGGAGCUGAUGCAAAGAUAGGUAUGCAUGGCAUAAUGGCAGGAGGACCUUAGAGGCUAGUGCAGCAGAAUAGAAACAGCAGUGCCUGAUGAUAAGUAUAUGCCAGCGUGAUUUCACUUCCUCUUCUUGCCUGCUCAAAUCCCAGGGAGACAGAGUUUAUGUGAUACUCAACAAUGUGAUGGGAAACUACCAAGCUCGUAACUUUCAGUAAUCCUUUACAUCCUCUCACAGCUACUAAAUCAUGAAGGAUGGCUUGAACUCAGGCCCAUCUGACUCCAAAAUUUAUAUCCUUAACCCUAUUAUUUUCUUUAAUAGGUAAAACAGAAGCCUCAAAGACAUAAAAUAAAUUUCCCAGGCCCCAGUGUCACACAGUUAAUAAGCAACAGAGUUUAGAGUGGAACUCAAAUUGAGUACCAAAUAAGAUUUUUGCUACCACACCUAGAUUUUUUCAACAAUACUCAUUACUGUAACCUGAGUCAUGAAUGGAAGGCUAAAUUAAAGUCCUUAUUUUCUAAGACAGAGAACAAAGAUAUGUGUGACCCAUUUAAAAAUUAUAAGAAUCAUGACUUGCCCUUAUUGAGUUUCACUCUAUGCCAGGCACUGUGCUAAGCUCUUUUCAAAUACUAUGGCUUCAAGUCUUGGAAUAAUGUUAUAAGUAUGUUGCCCAUGGCCACGUGAUCAAAAACGUGGAAUUAAAGACCAGGCCUUUCUAAAUUUGUUGCUAGUGUCUCACCACCUUGUUCUACUCUCUCCAUUUUAGAAAGAUCUGCCUACAAUUUUUGAAAUAAAACCAGUUUUCAUACACAUAAAGUAAAUAUUCAAACAUAUAGAAAUUUAAUUACUGUGUAGUAUCAAAUAUUUCCUUACUGAUAUUGACUUUAAAAUUACAUAAAAGUAGGAUGGGUGUACUGACCAUCUGUUUCGUCUGUUUGGCACAUUCUAUACCUGGAAGAAAAACAAAGACAAGGCAAUAUUAAACUCUGGAAGAACCUAAUCUUACUAGAAAAAGAAUCUUUGAUUUAUGCUUUAGCUUUCAGCCUGUCAUAAAAAUGUAAGUCUCUCUUCACAACUGUGUAUCAGCAUUGUAUCAAAGGUUGAAGCUCUUCACACGUAUCUUUAAAUUUUUUUUCUUUUUUGGAGUGGGAGUGGAAUCUAGUCAAAGAAAUGGAAAAGAUGCCACGAUGAAUGAGAAUUUUGUCUUAAUCUUUUUUACUUCAUAACCAGAGCUCAGUAGAGACAGAAGAAAUAAGUGAGUCAUAUUUAGGGAGAUGUGCUAUUGUGGACAGGUGUAGAUGACAGAUGUUGGAACAGUGGUUGAAAAUUCUAGGGAGGCCAAUUUUAACUCAAUA
Long non-coding RNA from Homo sapiens (human), 1775 nucleotides. Ensembl annotates it as FBXO38 divergent transcript. Its record names the gene FBXO38-DT. The record is from Ensembl. Lineage: Eukaryota; Metazoa; Chordata; Mammalia; Primates; Hominidae.